AGUAAAGUCAGCUAAAUAAGCUCUUGGGCCCAUACCCCUAACAUGUAGGAUAAUACCCUAUCUUUACUA
RNAcentral lists this transfer RNA (69 nucleotides) under Eurypharynx pelecanoides (pelican eel). RNAcentral describes it as "tRNA-Met". Lineage: Eukaryota; Metazoa; Chordata; Actinopteri; Anguilliformes; Eurypharyngidae. The record is from RNAcentral.